CUACGGGUUGCUGCAGGCGAGAAAACUUUGCAAUGUGCGAAAGCACGACAAGGUUAAUCCGAGUGGUUUGUGCUAAACGAACCUUUUGACAGUCCUAGAAACACUGUUGAAUAAGGGGUGGGCAAGUUCUGGUGUCAGCCGCCGCGGUAAAACCAGCACCUCAAGUUGUCAGGAUGAUUAUUGGGCCUAAAGCAUCCGUAGCCGGCUCUGUUAGUUUUCGGUUAAAUCUGUAUGCUCAACAUACAGGCUGCCGGGAAUACUGCAGAGCUAGGGAGUGGGAGAGGUAGACGGUACUCGGUAGGAAGGGGUAACAUCCUUUGAUCUAUUGAUGACCACCUGUGGCGAAGGCGGUCUACCAGAACACGUCCGACGGUGAGGGAUGAAAGCUGGGGGAGCAAACCGGAUUAGAUACCCCCGUAGUC
RNAcentral lists this ribosomal RNA (422 nucleotides) under uncultured archaeon. Its description in RNAcentral is "partial 16S ribosomal RNA". It matches the Rfam family "Archaeal small subunit ribosomal RNA", at positions 323 to 746 of the family's 1478-position model. The record is from RNAcentral.